This is a non-coding RNA of Acanthosepion pharaonis, 103 nucleotides long. Lineage: Eukaryota; Metazoa; Mollusca; Cephalopoda; Sepiida; Sepiidae. The record is from the annotation of a GenBank genome assembly.
UUACGGCUAUAUCAUUUUGAAACACCGGUUCCCGUAUGACUACUGAAGUUAAGCAACGUCGAGCCUGGAUUAACUCGAUGGGUGAGCACGUGGGAAUAACACC